Molecule: ribosomal RNA, 253 nt
Filed under: uncultured bacterium
Lineage: Bacteria
Description: partial 16S ribosomal RNA
Rfam family: Bacterial small subunit ribosomal RNA
Source: RNAcentral
UACGUAGGUGGCAAGCGUUGUCCGGAUUUACUGGGCGUAAAGAGCGCGCAGGCGGUCGUUCAAGUCGCGUGUGAAAGCCCCCGGCUCAACUGGGGAGGGUCACGCGAUACUGAUCGACUCGAAGGCAGGAGAGGGAAGUGGAAUUCCCGGUGUAGUGGUGAAAUGCGUAGAUAUCGGGAGGAACACCAGUGGCGAAGGCGACUUCCUGGCCUGUUCUUGACGCUGAGGAGCGAAAGCGUGGGGAGCAAACAGG